RNAcentral lists this unclassified non-coding RNA (917 nucleotides) under Hevea brasiliensis (rubber tree). The record is from RNAcentral. Lineage: Eukaryota; Viridiplantae; Streptophyta; Magnoliopsida; Malpighiales; Euphorbiaceae.
UUUAUGCAAUUUCAAGCCAAUUUGUUUUUGAAAUAUGGGGGAAAGUACAGAUAAAUUAUAUUUACUAUUAUAAAAACAGAAUUUUAAAUAAUUAAGUAAAGAGACACCACUAGGUUGAAAAUGCAAUCAAAAUUAAGACCAAGUGCAUUAAUACUUGCCGAGUAAUGAUUAAAUUGUAACUCUGGAGUAUGAUGUACUCAGGUAUCUGCGAAAUUCUGAGUAUGAUCUAACAAAGAAAAACAAACAGAGAGACAAGAAGACUUGAAGAAGAGGAGACCCAGUGAUAAACUAUAGGCCCCAUGCAAUCUCCCCCAAGAACACACAAUCAACAAUUUUAUUAAGAAUCUGGUGACCUACCAUGGAAGCGCACCCAACUUGGCAAAGGUCAAGCAAGACAACACAAUUUGAUCCUACCUCAUCAUCAGAACGAACAGUGACCACAUCAUAUCUGCUUGCAUCAAUGAUCAUAAUGCAUAAUGCAGAUGACUACACCAAAGCCACAGCCUGCAGAACUCAUCUGAGCAAGCGAGUAUGAAGGCCGGGCCACAAUAGAAUUCCUCACAAAUCCGAGCUGCAGAUCUGUGCCAAUGCAAUGAUUACAAUCAUAUAGUGAUGAACAAAACAGCAGCACAAAAACUAUAGGGAAGUGACAGAAGAUGAAAGUAGGCGUGGGGAUGAGUGUAUUUGGAGCUGGCAUGGAUAUCACCGAAAUCAACAACAGUGGCAAGUCAAAUUCAAGACAUCUUUGAAUCUCCCACUAUCCAACAUCUCGUGCUACAAAACCCUCAGAAGGUGAUGUGUCAACAUUCAAUCAAGAUGGACACAAUAUGGGUGGAUUUUGUCAUCUUUCACAUAAACCAUUGCGUCUCCCUGCAAAAUUUUAGGGUAGUUCACUCAAGCCAACCUUAAUAUCACGU